UGACUUUGAGGAAACAGCGAAGACCC
RNAcentral lists this non-coding RNA (26 nucleotides) under Rattus norvegicus (Norway rat). The record is from RNAcentral. Lineage: Eukaryota; Metazoa; Chordata; Mammalia; Rodentia; Muridae.